RNAcentral lists this ribosomal RNA (1174 nucleotides) under uncultured bacterium. RNAcentral's name for it is "bacterial SSU rRNA". It matches the Rfam family "Bacterial small subunit ribosomal RNA", at positions 212 to 1381 of the family's 1533-position model. The record is from RNAcentral.
CACGUGCCAAAGGAUGAGCCCACGUCUGAUUAGCUAGUUGGUGGGGUAAAGGCCUACCAAGGCGACGAUCAGUAGCGGGUCUGAGAGGAUGAUCCGCCACACUGGGACUGAGACACGGCCCAGACUCCUACGGGAGGCAGCAGUGGGGAAUUUUGGACAAUGGAGGCAACCCUGAUCCAGCCAUUCCGCGUGAGUGAAGAAGGCCUUCGGGUUGUAAAGCUCUUUCAGCUGGAGUGAAACGGUUCGCUCUAACAUAGCGAGCUAAUGACGGUACCAGCAGAAGAAGCACCGGCUAACUACGUGCCAGCAGCCGCGGUAAUACGUAGGGUGCGAGCGUUAAUCGGAAUUACUGGGCGUAAAGCGUGCGCAGGCGGAUUGUUAAGCAAGACGUGAAAUCCCCGGGCUUAACCUGGGAAUGGCGUUUUGAACUGGCAGUCUAGAGUGCGUCAGAGGGGGGUGGAAUUCNACGUGUAGCAGUGAAAUGCGUAGAGAUGUGGAGGAACACCAAUGGCNGAAGGCAGCCCCCUGGGAUGACACUGACGCUCAUGUACGAAAGCGUGGGUAGCAAACAGGAUUAGAUACCCUGGUAGUCCACGCCCUAAACGAUGUCAACUGGUUGUUGGGGGAGUGAAAUCCCUUAGUAACGAAGCUAACGCGUGAAGUUGACCGCCUGGGGAGUACGGUCGCAAGAUUAAAACUCAAAGGAAUUGACGGGGACCCGCACAAGCGGUGGAUGAUGUGGAUUAAUUCGAUGCAACGCGAAAAACCUUACCUACCCUUGACAUGUCCAGAACCCUGAAGAGAUUUGGGGGUGCCCGAAAGGGAAUUGGAACACAGGUGCUGCAUGGCUGUCGUCAGCUCGUGUCGUGAGAUGUUGGGUUAAGUCCCGCAACGAGCGCAACCCUUAUCAUUAGUUGCUACGCAAGGGCACUCUAAUGAGACUGCCGGUGACAAACCGGAGGAAGGUGGGGAUGACGUCAAGUCCUCAUGGCCCUUAUGGGUAGGGCUUCACACGUCAUACAAUGGUCGGUACAGAGGGUUGCCAAGCCGCGAGGUGGAGCCAAUCCCAGAAAGCCGAUCGUAGUCCGGAUUGUUCUCUGCAACUCGAGAGCAUGAAGUCGGAAUCGCUAGUAAUCGCGGAUCAGCAUGUCGCGGUGAAUACGUUCCCGGGUCU